This 253-nucleotide ribosomal RNA is filed under the name uncultured bacterium. Its description in RNAcentral is "partial 16S ribosomal RNA". It matches the Rfam family "Bacterial small subunit ribosomal RNA", at positions 524 to 776 of the family's 1533-position model. The record is from RNAcentral.
UACGUAGGGGGCUAGCGUUGUCCGGAAUCAUUGGGCGUAAAGAGCGUGUAGGCGGUCCGGUAAGUCCGUUGUGAAAGUCAGGGGCUCAACCCUUGAAUGCCGGCGGAUACUGUCGGGCUAGAGUCCGGAAGAGGCGAGUGGAAUUCCCGGUGUAGCGGUGAAAUGCGCAGAUAUCAGGAGGAACGCCAAUGGCGAAGGCAGCUCACUGGGACGGUAUUGACGCUGAGACGCGAAAGCGUGGGGAGCAAACAGG